GUCCAUCCAGCUGGAAAAUUUGGUAAGACAGGGACAGGAUGAGACUGACAGGCCUGACUGAAUAACAAAGCCCCGUGGACUGUGAUUGGUAAAGGAGACUGAGGUUCCCUGGCCUGAGAGAAGUGAAGAUCCAGCCAUGAGAGGAGCUAGCCAGUGAAUCUGGCCCAUCUCAGUGAUAUUAAGCUUGAGGGCCAUUGUGAAUUGAAUUUCAUCUCUGGGAACUGAGAGGACCCUGGAUGAAGCAACUUAUUGUGUUUAAGGAACUUUGGUGAUGGCUGAAAACUGGAUACCAAUUUUCACAAAGUGGAUCAAUGUGGAUGCCCCAGAUAAUAGUCACUGCAGUACAGAACUUGAGCAACCUUCUAGAAUGGGUUACUAAAGAAGAUGCUAGUGCCUGGAAAGGGAGAUUUUGAGAGCCAAGUUGGAUUGGACCAUCCUCACUCUCUUUCCUCACAGGUUUAAUUGACUUGACCAUGAAUCAAUAAGGAAUGCUGUAGACAUAGUGGGCCUGGAUUUCAUGAGGCAGUUGAAAAUGUUUCCCAUGAGAUCCUCAUGGGAACUAAAUAAUAUGGCCUGAGGGAUAAGGAGAUUUA
RNAcentral lists this long non-coding RNA (593 nucleotides) under Homo sapiens (human). RNAcentral describes it as "HSALNT0086840". The record is from RNAcentral. Lineage: Eukaryota; Metazoa; Chordata; Mammalia; Primates; Hominidae.